AAGGGGGAGCGAGGGAGGGACGGUAGGGGUGGAGGAGAGGAGAGAAGAAAGGAGAGAGGAAGGAAGUUGGAAGUAAAGGCAAAGUGUUUAAAAUGUAACAGAACACAAUUGUUUUUUUCAAAUUGGUAGAGGGUUGGAAAGGGCAUUAACGCGAAAGAUUCAUAUGACCAGACUAAAGGGUUAUAAUUCUUCGAUGUCUUAGAAGUGUAAUGAUUUUUGCAGUUAUUUCCAUGCUAUUGGUUUCACUAAUCAAUUUGAUUUUAGACUGUUAGAGUUAUAUUCCAUUAAUUCAUGCAUGACUCUAGUCUGCCUACACUGGUAUUAUGACACCUGGUAGAGAAAGGAAGCAGCUUGGCAGCACUACUCUAAGGAGGCUAGGAGCUGGAACUACGAAGAGCAAGAAAACAACUGUAAACUAAUUUGCAACCUGUAUUCUGACAAACAUCUAUUCAGGUCUGGUACUAUUUCUAAGGGCUUACAAUUACUGGAUAAGGGGCUACUAAUAAAAUAUCAAAGCGGUUCACACUCAAUCAUACCAACACAUUAAAGCCAUGUGCCCCCAUCGAAGAUACCAGCCGGUGCUGGUGUGAGGAGAGUAAACAAAAACAGCAAACAACUGUAGCAGAUGGCUACUGAGCAGAGACCUAGUGGAGACAGGUGGUAUUCCAAAAACCAAGGACCAGUAGCUAUCUAAUAACAUACAAACACAACCUCUAUAUUUUCCAGGUCACAAAACAAAUACUGUGAUCGCAUGAAUCACCUCCACCAGGGUCAGUGUCCUAAAUGGGUCAUGGACAGGUUUACUGUGGUUAACCACAAAUAACGUAAAGUAAAAUAAAGUAACUAGUCUGAUUUGAUGGGCCAACACCAAUGUACCUAGUUCGGCUCUAGUUGAGAUAAUUUGAGAGUAAAAAAUAUAAAUGUGUAAACCCACUGCUCAUCUGCUUGGUAAAAUACUGUACAUAAAAUGUGUCAGAAAGACAAUUGCUGCUGUUUGAUAGCCAAAACCCUGAGACAGCAGCUACAAGAACCAAGAAGCAAAAUGUAUUUUAUGAAAAGAAAAAUACAUGUCAUAUGUGGGUAAUACAGAACAUGUCCACAAUGUGCAACAGAAUGGGGCUGGUGUUCAUACACAUCAGAAUGUGUUAGAAAUAAUGUAACUUCAAAAAAGAUGCAGAAAAACAUUAUAUACCAUGCAGACGCAUGCAUGAAAGGGAGACGGUCAUGCAGUCAGGAGAGAACCCUGCCAUGCUUGUUGUUUGUGUGUGUGUGAAGCAAUUUUGUUUUACACACACACUGCACCUUCUGAACAAAACACAUGAUUUUCCUCUUUCAUUUGGCAUGAUGCACCCUCUUCUUCAUUUUACUGGCCAACUGCAAUGUGUGUUCACACCAGUGACAACUAGUGUUAGUGUAGUGUUCAAAUACUGGACUUUAACUACAGAACAAUUAUUUGAAGGAAACAAAUUAAUCAUAGCCACCGAGCACUUGUAGUGAGUAACUGCAGGUUAAUUUCAUGUCUGUAUGUGUGUGUAUGUACAAAUGUGUUUAAUGUGGGGAAGCCAACAUGUCUCUUGUCAGAUCCUUGUCUGAGCCUUAGCUGUGUCUCUGAGACCUGUUGUAACUUGGGUGUGAACAUGUGUGCACAUUCAAAAGUAUGCGUGUGAUCGAUCGUGUACUGUAUUUUGCAUUCUGCAUGUGAGUAAAAACAGUGAAGGGCUUCACCUACGGUGGCACUGAAUAAUGCUUACUGUAUUAACUGCAUUUCACUGAAAGGUAAAACAACCACAGAAUUCCUCGCAGACUAACAGCAACAACUUGUAAUCAUUUGUGAGUUUAGAGUCAGUGGUAAAAAAUAACAUCUUCAUUCAUGCUAGCUUGGCAAAAGUACAUCCUGUUGCUUCUUAAUCUCUAUUGCUAGACUGUAAAUGGUGUUUCACACACAGCUGAGCUGUAGACAAAAAGAGGUCACACAGUAGGCUCACGUGUGUGUUAAAUCCUCAGCUGCUUUGUUUUUCCACUCAUCUGUUUUAACCUCAAUAACGUUUUGUUUCUUCUUCCAUUUACAGUAGGCUAUAUUUAGUUAGGGGAUUCCCUGAAGUCUUCCAUGCCUCACUGCAUGGUGCCCCACGAUUAAGCCCCUGUAAAACCCGGUGGAAAGUUCAAACCUCUCUGGGUCAAAAUGGUGACACUAUAAAAACCUUUUUGAUGGUCAGACAGACCUUUGCAGAGUGACAUGUGGAGACAUGCAAUGGAAAAAAAAAAAAUCACUUUGGACAACCAUCCCCUUCCAAUAUCGCUGAGCUGACAGGUCAAAUGAACAGUACUCCAAAGCCACAGCGUUCAAGGAUGCUGUCAGCAACUUCCAUCACUCGAAGGGUCAAAGCCCUUUAUAGAAAAUAUAUUUUUUAUAUCUGGUAAAAUAUCCAUUCUAAUUGUUAGCUAAUACAAUUUUAACAGCAAGCACAGUGAACCAUCAGGUCCUUGGCAAUUUCAGUUACACAAUACAUUUUUGACAGGUGACUCUGUCCAAGCAGCCAAGAGCCAAACACUCAAAAUAGCCAGUCUUACACUAACAGCAACAUUUCCAUCACUAUCAAUCAUACAAAAUCUCUUGCUCAGAUAUACUGCUCACACACACACACACACACACACACACACACACACACACACACACACACACACACACACACACACACACACACACACAGACAGACAC
Long non-coding RNA from Siniperca chuatsi (mandarin fish), 2719 nucleotides. RefSeq lists it as uncharacterized. The transcript is spliced from 2 exons. The record is from RefSeq and is a predicted model, not a curated record. Lineage: Eukaryota; Metazoa; Chordata; Actinopteri; Centrarchiformes; Sinipercidae.